RNAcentral lists this ribosomal RNA (422 nucleotides) under uncultured bacterium. RNAcentral's name for it is "partial 16S ribosomal RNA". It matches the Rfam family "Bacterial small subunit ribosomal RNA", at positions 359 to 774 of the family's 1533-position model. The record is from RNAcentral.
GAUAUUGGACAAUGGGGGCAAUCCUGAUCCAGCCAUGCCGCGCGUGUGCCGAAGGUCCUCGUAUUGUAAAGCACUGUAAGUUGGGAGGAAGGGUUUUAGGAUAAUAUGCUGAAGUCUGUACGUUACCAACAUAAUAAGCACCGGCUAACUCUGUGCCAUCAGCCGCGGUAAUACAGAGGGUGCAAGCGUUAACCGGAAUUACUGGGCGUAAAGCUCGCGUAGGUGGUUCAGUGAGAUAGGUGUGAAAUCCCCGGGCUUAACCUGGGAACUGCUUUCAUAACUGCUGAGCUAGAGUACGGUAGAGGGUAGUGGAAUUUCCUGUGUAGCGGUGAAAUGCGUAGAUAUAGGAAGGAACACCAGUGGCGAAGGCGACUACCUGGACUGAUACUGACACUGAGGUGCGAAAGCGUGGGGAGCAAACA